CCUACGGGAGGCAGCAGUAGGGAAUUUUCCACAAUGGGCGAAAGCCUGAUGGAGCAACGCCGCGUGCAGGAUGAAGGCCUUCGGGUCGUAAACUGCUUUUAUAUGUGAAGAUUUUGACGGUAGCAUAUGAAUAAGGAUCGGCUAACUCCGUGCCAGCAGCCGCGGUAAU
RNAcentral lists this ribosomal RNA (169 nucleotides) under uncultured bacterium. RNAcentral's name for it is "partial 16S ribosomal RNA". It matches the Rfam family "Bacterial small subunit ribosomal RNA", at positions 338 to 524 of the family's 1533-position model. The record is from RNAcentral.